RNAcentral lists this long non-coding RNA (1198 nucleotides) under Saimiri boliviensis boliviensis (Bolivian squirrel monkey). RNAcentral describes it as "lncRNA (ENSSBOG00000036554.1)". Lineage: Eukaryota; Metazoa; Chordata; Mammalia; Primates; Cebidae. The record is from RNAcentral.
UGCAAAGGGCCCUGGGGCACCGCGGGACACGCGGGGGAAGGUUCUUGGCUGGGCUCAGAGAGGGGACCCGGCAGGCCUGGGGCCACGUGCCCUCAACUUGUCGGAUCCUGCGGCGCCUUAGGGUGGACUGGGCUGGGGUCUCGGCAGAGCUGUUUCUGCGCCGAAGCAGGACCCAGGCCAGGGACAGAGUGAGCCUGUGUGACUCCGAGCUUUCUGGGUCCCGCUGGAAACCCCUCUGGCUCUGAGACCGUCUUCUGUGAACCAGAAGGCUCUAUCCUACCUUCUGAGGGUCACAGGAGAUCGCACUUUGCAGUGUCCCCCACCCACACAGGAGAGUUGCUCGGUGCCACAGGCAGGAGGACCCCCCAACACACACAGUACGUUCAUCCAUUCAUUAACCGCAUGGGGAGUAUUCCUUGCAUCUCAGAGAUGGGGACGCAGAAGUGACCCCACUAGACCCAAGGCCGCGGGAGGCUGGGUGGAGCGGACACAUUCUGUAAACUGGACUCCCUUAUUCAACAAAGUGUUUAGUCAAUCAGUUGACAGCAACGCCAGGGUCCUCUGAGGACAGGGCCUUCCUGGAGGUCACUUGAGCCACUUGCCCCAAGGUGGUUUUCAGGGGAGUGUGGCUCCAGGCUGUGGCUGCAGACAGCGCUCACUGCCUGUCUGCAGCUGGGCAGAGCAGCUAGUCUGUCCGCGUCCAGCUCCACCUGGCUGCCCUGCCACGGCCCCAGCGGGCAACCCCUUGUCCUUGACGCCCGUUACUGCGUGCUGCAGCUGGCACCGGCUGCCCUCCUUCCUGCCUGAGACACCCCAGGGCCUUUGUACGUGCAGCUCUCCCUACCCAGAGGAUUCUUUCCAGGCCACCUUCUUCCUGCCAUACAGGCCUCAGAGAGAACAGCUGCAGGCGCCCCCUCCGCCCCCACCCCCACCAACAGAGGAGUGCCGGGUCACCCCCUGUCACGCCAGGAUUUAUUUUCAGUCGGAGUGCCAACCGAGAGCUAAGCCUACCGUAGCCUGUGUGAGCAGAUGGGGAUUUACUAUGGAGCUGACGCUGAGUGAGGACCUUGCCUGGCUGCGUCACCUCUGGUAGCACGAGUGCUGCUACAUGCCAGGCCGAUGCGGGGGAGGCACACGCAGCAGUCUUACCAGGUUCCACAGGGGCUCCCCCAGUCCCACCUGGCAAAGGAGGCCAGGU